AAGGGAUAAGAGAGGGCUAGUAAAAGAGGGAGGGGGGAAGGGAAAGGAGUAUAGAUAUAGAGAUAUAGGGAUAGAGAAUUUAUAUAGAGAACAUAAAGAUAGACAUACAGAAGAUAGAGAUAGCUAUAGAAAAGAUAGAGAUAACUAUAGAAGAUAAAGAUAUAGUUAUAGAGCAUAGAUGGAGAUAACUAUAGAGAGAGUCAGACAUAGAGAAGAUAGAGAUUGAUACAGACAUAGAAGAUAGAGAUAGAGAUAUAGAAGACAGACAUAGAGAUAGAUAAGAUAGAGAUAGAGAAGAUAUUGUGGAUAGAGAUAAUAGAGAAGAUAAGGAUAGAUAUAGAAUAGAUAUAGAUAUAAAGAUAGUUAUUUAUACAAAAGACAGAGAUAGAGAUAUAGAGAAGUUAGAGAUAGAUUUAGAGAAAGAUAGAGAAUUUAGAGAUAGACUACUUUUAUAGAGAUAGAUAGAAAUAGGAAAAAGAUGGAGAAAAAUAGAAAUAGACACGAGAGAGUGAAGGAGUUUGAGAUAGAGACAGAAAGGGUAAUGAGAGGGUCAUUGGGAGAGAGAGGGUCAGACAGAGAGGGAGAGACAGACUGUGUGUGAGAUUGUGUGUGAACGUUUGUGUGUGUGUGUGUGUCUGCGUGUGUUCAUUUCACAACCUGGUAUUUCAUCAGAUAAGGGGUUGCCUUGUUUUUCUCCUCUUCCUGAAUCUCUUACAGGAAAUACUUGGAUGACGCCAUGGGGAAGAGAAAUCGGGUAUCUACCCACGACUCAGUCUAGGAGCAGUGGAAGAACCUUUUCCAGGAUGCAAAAGCACUGCUAUUUCGAGGUCCCCCUCAACAUACCGCACCCUUGUCAUAGAGGAAUAAUGUGCAGGUGGGGGACCUCGAGGUCCAGAAGGAGAGCAUUCCUGCGAGGCCAAAAUCGGAACGAAAGGACAUUGUGGCCCCAUCCUCAGUGAGGAGAUUGGCUUCUGAGGCUCCUAUGCUUAUAGUCAUUGUCUCAUAUAGAAUAAUUACCCUUAAAUGCUCGGUCGUCUCAUUCAAGUACAAUUUUUUCAGCAUUUCAUCCCUUUACAGCUUCCCAUUGCCACUCUUAAUUUUUCAAGGACUUAUUUUCAUCUUGAGACUCCUUUCCUCCUUUGCAAGUUGGUUUACGUUUUUUUUUUUUGUUUGUUUGUUUUUUGUUUUUUUAUACGGUUUUCAUUGUUCUUGGAAGCAGUUUUUUUGGUUACAUUUUCUCAAUUUCUUUUGAUUUUAAAUUCUUUUUUGAGUUCUAUACAUUUUCUUUGGUUUUGCAGCCAUUGUACAUGACUCUUCAGGAUAAAAGCUUUUUUUCCUUAAGUGUCCUCCUCUGAAGAUGAACUCUUGUCUUCCCUGUUCUGAUAAUCUAUUUCAAUGGUGGGGUUCUUCCUUGCAGGUGUGUUUUUUAAAAUGAGGAUUGAUUAUUGAGCUCUUUUAAUUGAUGUCGGGGGGAGUUCCUCAAGCUUCCAUUCAGAGUUGCCCUCUGACCAGGAAACCCAAAGACUCUGACCAAGAACUCCAAGGCAAGAGCUCCCCUUGCCUACAAGUACCAGCAGCCAGCAGGGUCCCGGAUCCACUGCCUCUGCAACCACCCAGGGUUGGAUCCUGGCCAGGGCCAAUCCUCAGUGCUACCUACAAGUGACACAGCUGGACCUGGUUGCCAACCUAGUCAACCCAGCUUCACUCAGGCCUCCAGGACUCAGAUCUCUACUUGACAAGAGAGUCUGGGAGAUGAAAGUCUUUGUGGUUCCUGUGAGGCUCCGGCCACUCCCAGCUUAGCCGAAGGGCCCCACUUGUUUCUGUGGAUUUAGGCUGGAGGUGUUGCCAUUUUAGAGAGAUUCAUUCCCAGUCCAAUGGCUUUUUUCACAAUCCUUUGGGUUGUGUGUGAAGGACCCCCUGUGAGAUCCCAAGUCUGAUUUGUAUGUCUAAAUUCUCUCUUAAGUUACAAAUUUGUUCCAUUUGUGGGGGAAAUUGGGAGAACUCGAACACCUUCCUAGACCCCUCCAGAGCAGAAAUUUUUUAAAAAAGGAUCAAAAUGAACCUUGUUAUCCCCAACCUUUGCCUUAGGCUGUUGGGAGAAGUGCUUGGGGAAUCUUGUAGGAGAAGGUUUUGAGUGGGGAGCCAAGGCUGGUUGGAAUUUUCUGGUCUUCUUCCAAGGACUACUGGCUUUGGCAGUACAGCAUGGGGUAGCUUCUUGGCUUAGAGGACCUUCUACCUGGGGCCAAUUAGAGUGUUGGAAAACAACUUUAGGGGAUUUCUUGGACUAACAUGUCAGGACUGGGGAUAUUUUUGUGGUGUUCUUCUGAGGAGCACUGACUACUUUGAUGGCCCUAACUUGCAUGCUUUAUUGGGGUGGAGGACUUUCUCCCUGAGCCCAGUUCAAAGAAGGUUUAGAGAGAGCUCUUGACGAUGUCUUGGUGUCAAUGGAGAGGGCCAUGGAUACUUUGGUGGCCCUCCUGUUCCAAGGAGCUCUUAGUACUUUCAUGGCAUUAACUUGGAUGCAUUCUUGGGGUAGAGGAUCUUCUCCCCGGGGCAAAUUAGAGAAGUGUUGGGAAACAACUGUGCUGGAUGUCUUGGACUCAGUUGGCAGAACUGGGGAUAUUUUGGUGUUCUAUUGAGGAGCACUGACUACUUUCAUGGCACUACCUGUAUGUAUUCUUGGGGUAGAGCAUCUUCUCCCUGGGGCGAAUUAAAGUGGUGUUUGGAAACAGCUUGGGGGAUAUGUUGGACUCAGAUGGCAGGACUAGGGAUACUUUAGUGGUCUUCCAAGAAGCAACGAUUAUUUUCAUGGGACUAACUUGGAUGGCUUCUUGGGGUGGAGGACCUUUGCCCUGAGUCCAAUUGAAAGAAGGUUCAGAGAGAAUUUUUGAGGAUAUCUUAGAGUCAGAUGGCAGUGCCAGGGAUUCUUUGGGCGUCCUUUUCCAUGGAACACUGACUCCUUUGAUGGUCUAGACUAGGCUGGCUUCUUAGGGAGGAGGAUCUUUGCACUGGGGCCAAUUAGAAUGUUCAGAAUCAACUUUGGGGGAUGUCUUAGAGUCAUUUGUCAGGGCCAGGGAUACUCUGAUGGUCUUCCUAGGAGCACUGACUAUUUUAAUGGCACAGACUUGGAUGGCUUCUUGGGGGAAAGGAUCUUCUCUUUGGAGCCAAUUAGAGGAUGGUUCACAGACAUCUUUGGGGGAUGUAUUGGAGUCAUUUGGCAUGACUGGGGAUACUUUCAUGUUCUUCUUCCAAGGAGCACACAAUAUUUUGAUGGCACUAACUUGCAUGACUUCUUGGAGUGGAGGACCUUCUCCUUGGGCCCAGUUGAAGGAAGGUUCAGAGAGAACUCUCGAGGAUGUCUCAGAGUCAGAUGGCAGGGCCGGGGACACUUUGGCUGCCCUCUUGCAAGGAGCACUGACUACUUUGAUGGCCCAGCCUGGGUUGAUGCUGGGUGAAUGUUUGGUGUUAAGAUAAUCAUAUCCAAGGAUUAGAGGCAGAGAAACAGAGGCCAAAGAUUCACCUUGCAGCAGGACCAGAAGGAGAGAAGUUGAUGCCUUUGGACUCGGACAAUCGAGGUUACAUCUUUGCGUGAGCCUGUGGCAGUUUGCCUGCUUCUUUCACUUCUCCUCCUAAAGACCAAGGACUUUUACUUAAUCCUGACUCUGGCUGAUCCUGAGAACGCCAGAGAGCUAGUCUGGACUUAACAGGAAGUCAUAGAAGUGAACAACUAAGAAAUUACAAUAGAGAUUGUAAAUAUUGAAAACAAACUGAACAUUGUGAAACAUAACUUAAAAGGCAGAACUGGAGAACAGAUUAGGAAUAGAAAAUUGAAGAACUGGACUACCUAAACAUUUUGACCAAAAAAAGAUCCUGAACACAAUAAUGCAAGAAAUAAUUGGUGAAUACUGUCCUGGAAUGAUAGGACAUGAGGGUAAAAUGUCAAAAUAGGAAAAAAAAUCCCCCAAUACCAUCUCAAUGAAAUCCAUUGUGGAAAACAUCAGAAUGUUAGUGCUAAAUUUUGAAACCCGAAGAUCAAAGGGAAAAUUUCAGAAGAAACAAACAAAAAAAAUUCAUAUAAGUGAAAACUACAAUAGGAAUUGAAUGAGACACAUCAGUAGCCCCAGUAAUAGACUGGAAAUGACCUACUGAGUGCUGAUUCUGAAAGAGGAGGGCAGAGAGAGGGUGAGCACAAUAGAGAAAAUAGGACAGGGCAACAUGGUGCAAGACCAAUUUAGGGGAGGGAAGGAAGACAGAAAGAGGAAAAAGAAUGAGAUAAAAGGGGAGGGAGGCAAAUGAGAGUAAGAAGGAAAAAAGAGUUUACACUGCAAAGAUUUCUUACAAUAUAUUUAAAAUUGUAUUUUUUUACAUCUUGAAAUGUGUAUUUUUCAAAUUACAUGGAGAGAAUUCAACAUUCAUUUUUGUCAAACUUUGUGAUCCCCGUGUUUCCCCUUCGCUCACUCAACCCCACUCUUCCCAUGAAAGCAAGCAAUCUAAGUGAAAUACAAGUCUUUUAUGCACUGAACCACAUUUCUCAGGUUGUGGAAGAAAACAUGUAAUCCUGAAGCAAAAAAAAAAAAAAAUAAAAAAAUAAAAAAUUAGAAAUCUGUAUGUGAUUCUCUGGUUCAAAUGUUGCUAGGAGGCAUCUCAAAAUGCAAACAAAGCAUGGAUUCUAUCAGAAAUGCAAG
Long non-coding RNA from Sarcophilus harrisii (Tasmanian devil), 4685 nucleotides. The record is from Ensembl. Lineage: Eukaryota; Metazoa; Chordata; Mammalia; Dasyuromorphia; Dasyuridae.